Molecule: ribosomal RNA, 120 nt
Filed under: Thinopyrum elongatum
Lineage: Eukaryota; Viridiplantae; Streptophyta; Magnoliopsida; Poales; Poaceae
Source: RNAcentral
GGAUGCGAUCAUACCAGCACUAAAGCACCGGAUCCCAUCAGAACUCCGAAGUUAAGCUUGCUUGGGCGAGAGUAGUACUAGGAUGGGUGACCUCCUGGGAAGUCCUCGUGUUGCAUUCCC